UCCGCAGGUGGAUGGGUAAGUCGGUGGUGAAAUCGCUCCGCUCAACGGAGCAAUGGCCUCCGAUACUGCUCGUCUUGAGUUCGGGAGAGGGUGAUGGAAUUCAUGGUGUAGCGGUGAAAUGCGUAGAUAUCAUGAAGAACACCCGUAGCGAAGGCGGUCACCUGGCCCGAUACUGACGCUCAGGGACGAAAGCGUGGGGAGCAAACAGGAUUAGAUACCCUGGUAGUCCACGCCUUAAACGAUGGAUGUUCGGUGUCGGUCUCGUCAAACGAGGUCGGUACCUGAGCUAACGCGUUAAACAUCCCACCUGGGGAUACGAUCGCAAGGUUGAA
RNAcentral lists this ribosomal RNA (332 nucleotides) under uncultured bacterium. RNAcentral describes it as "bacterial SSU rRNA". It matches the Rfam family "Bacterial small subunit ribosomal RNA", at positions 568 to 898 of the family's 1533-position model. The record is from RNAcentral.